RNAcentral lists this ribosomal RNA (574 nucleotides) under uncultured bacterium. Its description in RNAcentral is "bacterial SSU rRNA". It matches the Rfam family "Bacterial small subunit ribosomal RNA", at positions 102 to 674 of the family's 1533-position model. The record is from RNAcentral.
ACGGGUGCGUAAUACGUAGGAAUCUGCCCUAGAGUGGGGGAUAACCUGCCGAAAGGCGGGCUAAUACCGCAUGAUCUCUAUGGAGCAAAGGUGGCUAGCAAUAGCCUUCGCUUUAGGAUGAGCCUACGUCGGAUUAGCUAGUUGGUAGGGUAAUGGCCUACCAAGGCAACAAUCCGUAGCUGGUCUGAGAGGACGAUCAGCCACACUGGAACUGAGACACGGUCCAGACUCCUACGGGAGGCAGCAGUGGGGAAUAUUGGACAAUGGGGGAAACCCUGAUCCAGCAAUGCCGCGUGUGCGAUGAAGGCCUGCGGGUUGUAAAGCACUUUCGGUGGGGAAGAAAUGCUCAAAGAUAAUACCUUUGAGAGCCGACGUUACCCACAGAAGAAGCACCGGCAAACUCUGUGCCAGCAGCCGCGGUAAUACAGAGGGUGCAAGCGUUAAUCGGAGUUACUGGGCGUAAAGGGCGCGUAGGCUGAUAUUUAAGUCGAUUGUGAAAUACCUGGGCUUAACCUGGGAAUUGCAGUUGAUACUGGAUAUCUUGAGUAUGGUAGAGGAAAGUGGAAUUCUCGGU